GUGAAGAUGAUGCUGGAUCUAGGUCCCUUCUCGGACGAGAAAUUCGAUCCGAAGAAAUGGAUCAAUUCAGCUUGCCAGACUCGCCAUCCACAGGAAUCUCUGGACAAGCACCUGGUGGAUCUCGAAAUGAAGCUUCAAAUGGUGUCAGAGGAGAUCGCCGCCUCUCUCGAAGAGCAGAGCGCAGCUUCCCUCCUCCGCGUCCCGCGUGCCACUCGCGAUGUCAUUCGCCUCCGUGAUGAUGCCGUCUCCCUUCGCAAUUCCAUUUCUGCAAUCCUCCAGAAGCUCAAGAAGGUUAGCGCUGUAUUGUUUAAUGGAGAUAUGUGCAGUAUUUUGAUUUUCAUGUUGGAUGGAUUUAGUUUGGUUAGUGACUAUAAAUGCGUCCAAAGAAAAGACUUAAGUUCCUUAUCGUGGAAAUAGAUACAAUUAAAAUCUGAUAAAUUAGAACUUUGAGAUUCAAUGUCUUGUGUGUAUAGGAGAAUUCGUUCACUAAUGGGCCUAAAUGAGAUAUUAUCAAUUGAUUUGCUUUCUUCUUCAGGCUGAGGGAUCCUCGGCGGAAUCUAUAGCUGCACUUUCUAAAGUUGAUACCGUCAAACAAAGAAUGGAAACCGCUUAUGAGACUUUGCAGGAUGCUGCUGGGUUAACUCAAUUAAGUUCGACUGUAGAGGAUGUAUUUGCCAGUGGUGAUCUUCCGCGAGCUGCAGAAACCUUGGCCAACAUGAGGCAUUGCUUGUCUGCUGUUGGAGAGGUUGCUGAAUUUGCUAACAUUAGGAAGCAACUUGAGGUAUUAGAAAGUAGGCUGGAUGCAAUGGUACAGCCUCGUCUAACAGAUGCAUUGUCAAAUCGCAAGAUUGAUGCUGCCCAAGAUUUGCGGGGAAUUCUCAUUCGAAUUGGGAGAUUCAAGUCUCUGGAGAUGCAUUAUACGAAAGUUCACCUAGAACCCAUAAAGCAGCUCUGGGAAGAUUAUGACUCUAGACAACGAGCUAGUAAGUUUGCGGGUGAGAAGAAUGAAUUAGAAAGGCUAUCAGGCAAUAAUGACUUGCCUAUGAUUUCAUUCUCAAGUUGGUUGCCAAGUUUCUAUGAUGAGUUGCUGCUUUAUCUUGAGCAAGAAUGGAAGUGGUGUAUGGUUGCUUUUCCUGAUGAUUAUAAAAUUCUUGUACCAAAACUACUAAUUGAGACAAUGCAAGCUGUAGGGGCUAGCUUUGUUUCCCGUAUCAAUCUUGCCACUGGAGAUGUUGUUCCUGAAACAAAAGCGCUUGCAAAAGGCAUAUUAGAUAUUUUAUCUGGAGAUAUGCCAAAGGGUAUCAAGAUUCAGACUAAGCAUCUUGAGGCCCUUAUUGAAUUGCACAACAUGAUGGGGACAUUUGCAAGGAAUAUUCAGCACCUAUAUUCAGAAUCUGAUCUCCGAGUUUUAUUGGACACACUGAAGGCAGUUAACCUUCCUUAUGAAUCAUUUAAACAGAGGUAUGGUCAGAUGGAACGUGCCAUCCUGUCUUCUGAGAUUGCAGGGGUUGACCUAAGGGGAGCUGUCACUCGUGGUGUGGGAGCCCAAGGAAUUGAACUGAGUGAAACAGUUCGGAGGAUGGAAGAAUCUAUUCCCCAAGUUAUCGUACUUCUUGAAGCAGCCGUAGAGAGGUGCAUUAACUUCACUGGUGGCUCUGAGGCAGAUGAACUAAUUCUUGCCCUUGAUGACAUCAUGUUACAGUACAUAUCUUUCCUGCAAGAAACCCUUAAAUCACUGAGAGUUGUCUGUGGAGUGGAUAAUGUCAUUGAUCCAAGGAAGGACAUGAUCUUGGAGAAAAAGGAAGGGAGCCAAAAUGUGCGCAGAAUAGACUCAGUGUCAAAUGAAGAGGAAUGGUCCAUUGUCCAGGGUGCUUUGCAGAUACUAACAGUUGCAGAUUGUCUAACGAGCAGAUCCUCUGUCUUUGAAGCUUCCUUGAAAGCCACUCUAGCUAGACUGAGCACAAGUUUGUCUCUUUCAGUGUUUGGAUUCAAUUUGGACCAAAACCAGUCACACAUUACUGCAAAUGAUGGAAAUGGGGAACAAUCCUUGGGUGGAAGGGCUGCUUUGGAUGUGGCAACUGUCAGGCUUGUUGAUGCUCCUGAGAAGGCUCGGAAACUAUUUAACCUUUUGAAUCAGUCUAAAGAUCCUCGGUUUCACGCACUUCCACUAGCAUCACAGAGAGUUGCAGCAUUUGCUGACACUGUGAAUGAACUUGUCUAUGAUGUGCUAAUAUCUAAAGUACGGCAACGCCUCAGUGAUGUGUCUCGUUUACCAAUUUGGUCCUCAAUGGAGGAACAGAGUGCUUUCCCUCUUCCAACCUUUAGUGCUUACCCACAAUCUUAUGUAACCAGUGUUGGUGAAUAUCUUCUUACUUUGCCCCAGCAGUUGGAGCCCCUUGCUGAGGGCAUAUCUAGCAGUGAUGUCAACAAUGAUGAAGCUCAGUUUUUCGCAACUGAGUGGAUGUUCAAGGUAACCAACCUAUGCACACUUGAGCAUUAUGUUUUGCUUUUCAUUUUUAGCGUUUGGCUCGCAAAUGACUAGUAGAUAUCCAACACCACAUUAAUCCUGACUAGAGAACGUAUAUGCAGAGUCUGAAAGUCUACAAGCCCAGGCUGCUGAGACCCUGGUAACAGUAAAGUAUAUAAGCUUCUUAGUUUGUAUCACUGAGAUGAUCAGAAAAAAUGGUAAAAGUAUUUAGUAUGGUUGGCUUUCCUCAAAGGCAGGAACAAGUGUGCAAAAUGUGCAUGAAAAGAGUAGGAAAAAACUCAUUAAUGCAGCUUGUUCCUCUCUCAGAAAUCAGCAGACAGCCUCUCAAAAAUUUUAAAUGAUGGGAUAAUUUCGAUAGAAAUGCCUUUUGGUUGAUAAACGUGUGCAUGUGUCUAGUCAUGGAGCUUUAUAUUGUUGAUUGAUCCCUUUAAAGCUGGGGAUUCAAAUCAGUAGAAAACACGUCAUGAUGAUCAUCUUAAUUUCUAUUAUUGAAAAUGAUUUAGCACAGCCAAUUUGACUAGGAUAAUUGUUCCUUCUGUGUCUUAGGUUGCAGAGGGUGCCACCGCUCUUUACAUGGAGCAGUUGCGGGCUAUUCAGUGCAUAACAGAUCGUGGAGCACAGCAGCUGUCUGCUGAUAUUGAGUACUUGAGUAAUGUGCUUUCUGCUCUAUCAAUGCCGAUUCCUCCAAUCCUGGCAACUUUCCACACAUGCCUCUCAACGCCCAGAGACCAGCUGAAGCAUCUUGUGAAAUCGGACGCUGGGAACCAGCUUGAUCUUCCAACAGCAAAUCACUUUUCUUCCCCUUGACUAUGCAACAUUAUGACUAUCCUGAAAUAUUAUUCUGCUCUAGCACAUCAAAAUGCUACCUUGUCAUGUUUAACUUCAACAAAGCAGAUUUGGCAUGCCACGCUGUGAGGUAAGCCAUUUAUCUUCUCUUCGGCCCUCAUCAUUCCCUGAUCCUAUGACCAUUGGACCUUCAUAAUCCAACCAUCCUCGUAUACACAAAACAGUGCAAAGCCUAUAUCAUUGCACUACAGAAAUCAUACGCCCUUAUGCAUAUGACAUAAACUGCCCUCAUGACCAUAUUCCACAUAAAAUGACCAAAGUAAAAGCAUGGUAAUGCAGUAAUAACAUUAUGACAACAUUAAAACACAGCUAAAAGAAUGCAUAUUCCAGAUGGAACACUAAUACCAGCUGCGAAUUGCUCAUAUAAAUGUUCUUAAAUGCAUUACAUCUCAGUUAAAUUAGAAAAUAUUUUCCCCUGAAUUCCUUAUCAUAGCAUCAGGGAUGCGCUUAACAGCAGCCACUGUGCCAUCCAGGUUCACCAGAUUACAUGCCUUUCCUGCAAAGUGGAAUAGAAACAAGCUAUUUGACAGAUAAUAUGCAUGUUCAAGUUACCUCCAGGCAACCCAUAAAAUUGCAAGUUACAGGUUUUGUGAUGCAGCAUAACCUUGCAUCCAAGCCAACUGAAGUAGAUUUCCAAGCAAUUGUAAAAAACAGUAUUAAAGCAAUUAUGCUUUUAAGAAAUAGCUAAGAUGCUAUGGAAAUCACUCUGCAAAGAAAAGUAGUUACCUAUAAUUUGUCUGACCCUGGUUUUGAAAUUUUGACUCCAAAAAUAACAUACUCUGUAAAAAAAGGAAAUCCAUUUCUGCAUGAAGAUGAAGUACGGAGCUUUUACACUUGUUACCCUAAAAAACAGAAUGUCCAUUGGUCUUCACUGCCUGUUCAUUUGCAUAACCCAUGCAUCACCCCAAUGAUUCGUGUUCCGCCCAAUAAUGGGUUCAGGCAGCAGGUCAAGGAACAAUGAGAAUACAUAACUUGUAGAUUGUCAACAUGAUAACAUGCUACAUUGAAAUCAUACUAUGAAAAUCAAGCAUGGUCAUCCUGUAAAAAAAAAUAUUUAUCGAGCAUUGUCACCCUGUUAAAUAAUUUUGAGUUGUACGUGGUUAAUACCAAAAGAUUUUAGAAUUGUAUACUUUCUUUCACUGUUUAGUGGAUGAAGCAGCAGUUAAAAACAAUAUUACAUCAACUUGAAUAGAGAAAAAUUAAACCUAUGAUAAAUAGGGUAAGUCAAACUACCAUAGUGGCCAUGAUAAAAAUAAGAAUUAUGUGUUACCUCGAAACUGAAACAUAACCAUCAUCCCCAUCAGCAGCAGUAUCAUUCAAGCAUACAAUUUGAUUGUCCACUUAAAUACAUGAGAACAGAAUAGACAUCAAUGACCCCAAUACAAGGAAAUGGACGCUAGACUCAGAAAACCAUGUUCCAGAGACAAUCGCAUAAAGAAAUUCAAUUCAGCCAGAGCCCAAGAUGAAUAUAAAAGACUUACAACAAUAUCAAGUCAUACCUACCUCAAUCCUUUUCUCUUCUAUCAAUAUUGAUGAAAGGAAGGUAUAGUCUCAACAAAGCUCACGUAAUUUAAAAGCUCUGAUAUCUAUCUACACAAUCCAUUUAAUAUGGGUGAACUGGACUUUUAGGGGAUCUCCUGUGACUGUGUCUAACAGGGGAGGGUGACCUACUCCGGUCACGGUACCUAUCUCUGCCACUAUCUCUUCCACUCCUGGACCUCCAAUCUAUUCCCUUUCCUCCACCCCUACUACCUCUACCAGUCCACUUUCGUGACCUUUUAUGAUCACGUUCACGGUCACGAUUACGGUCCCUCUCCCUGUAUCGAUCUCUAUUAUGAUAAUGGUCCAUAUCAUCAGAAUCACUCCACCUCCUCUUUUCAUAUUCCUUCUCCCUUUUCUUCCUCUGUUCUUCAGCUUCUUUCUCCAUAGCUAGUCUCUCUUCUUCCUUUGCCUUCUCCUUAGCUGCCUUGUACUCUGUGAUGAAGUCUCGGACCAUGCCAUAACCUAUGUGCUGCUUCCCUACAACGUGAGACUGAGUCCUCUCUGCAGCAUCAUUUGCUACUAGAAAAGAACCGCAGAUUUCACACAAGGCCAUCUUUUUCUCCUGUGGAGCCAUCAAUAAUUUAUCACUCUGGAAUUGAAUCAAGGCCUUCUCAGCAUUGAGUUCAUCCACCUUUUUCAUAAGAGCUUGAGCUUCAUCCACCUUUCCAGCUUCACCAAGUGACUCAACUUGCACCAGCAGGUUCUUUAUUUUCUCCUCCACCACAGAUAACUGUUCAGACUUUUCAGCUGACAGUGGAGGUGGUGGCAUAGGUUCCUCCCCUUGAGCUAGGCGUUCUUGUCCACGCCUAACUCUUCUAUCCAAAUCCAUCACCUAUAAAAAAAGGGGAAUCAUGACAGAAAAAGCAUGUACUACAGGUCAACCAUAACAUGUAACCAAUAGACAAUGGAGCAUAGAAUCUACCAAUUUCUCACAACGCUGAGCAAGUUCAGCUUCAAAUUUGAGUAGAUAUCUGUCGUGUCUUGGGGAAUUCUCAAAGCUUUCUUUUAACUUUGGAUCAUGAAUCCUAGCACAUGGCCCUAGAUCACUUUUGGUGUUAACAAAGAGGUCAUGAGGACAAAAUCGAGCCAUAUAGAAUGGACAGACCUCCUUAGAAUCCCACGUAAUUUCCUUGUACUCUUUCUUCUCUUCCUCCGUCAAAUUACGAUCAGAACCCAUGAGUUCGUCUAGCAUAGCUCGCUGGAGGUCCAUGUCUGACAAUGGAAGCUUUGAGAUAAAUGAGGUUAUGAAGAGAAGAAGCAGUGGCUAUGAUAGAAAUUGAUAGAGUAUAAGCUAGGGUUUGAGGACUGGGAGAUUUGGUGGGGGUUAGGGUUUGGUUAUCCCAAUAGCAGGGAGAGAGACGGUAAGGCUAGUAGGAGGAGCUUGGCUUGAUGAUUUCUAUCGGCUCAGAAC
Molecule: unclassified non-coding RNA, 6287 nt
Filed under: Hevea brasiliensis (rubber tree)
Lineage: Eukaryota; Viridiplantae; Streptophyta; Magnoliopsida; Malpighiales; Euphorbiaceae
Source: RNAcentral